CAACCGGCCAAGUUUUUGUUACGAGAACCGUAAACACCUCCAUAAAUGAUCAACUUUUUAGUGAGAAAGUCUGCAGUGUCUGAGGGGAGAGGAUGGAGGAAGAGAACGAUGAUUCAUUAGUAAUGAAGCCCUGCAGAGAUCAUAUAAGGCCAUCUAAUAUCUAGAGCCACCUCUGGGAAGCUGUAGAACUGUAAAGAAGCUAUGAUUCUGCUUUGUAUUCCAGAACAAUGUGAAACAGAUCAGGGCGUGACAAGAACUUCCACUGAAGGUUUUUUAACAUUGUACACUGUAAGUACAUUAAUCUAAUUGUGCGUUUUUUGUUAGAAAAUGUGUAAACUUCCGGGGAAAUGUAGUUAACCUACCCGUUAAUUGAACAGGGCCAGUGUGUAGUAGUAUUGCUUAGUCAGCUCUGACAUGGUGGAUAGACAUCCUUUCAUUUGUCCUCUUUAUUCACACCAUCACUUUCAUCUCUCCUCUCAAUCUCUCUAUUCUGUCCCUCUUUUACCAUCUCUCUCCACCCGAGUGGAAUUGUUCAUUUCCUAUACUAGAGACACCUUAAUGGUUAACCCCUCUUCCCCCGUUCUCAAUAGAUGGUAUAGCACAUCCCUCCUAAGACUACAGUUCUAGCUAUUUCAAAGAGAAACCUAAGAUGUUGUAGAUGAGUUGUACAAACUAAUGAG
Molecule: long non-coding RNA, 680 nt
Filed under: Salmo salar (Atlantic salmon)
Lineage: Eukaryota; Metazoa; Chordata; Actinopteri; Salmoniformes; Salmonidae
Description: lncRNA (ENSSSAG00000102573.1, ENSSSAG00020057686.1, ENSSSAG00075062830.1)
Source: RNAcentral